Long non-coding RNA from Fopius arisanus, 1161 nucleotides. RefSeq lists it as uncharacterized. Lineage: Eukaryota; Metazoa; Arthropoda; Insecta; Hymenoptera; Braconidae. The transcript has 2 exons. The record is from RefSeq and is a predicted model, not a curated record.
CCCGAUACUAAGAGAAUUGCAGUUGGUUCCGUAACAUAGCCAAUGUCAUUUACACUUGUAUCAUGAAACCGAGUAAUAAUUAAUCAGUGCAGCCGGGAAGAAAGUCACUUUGUGAUGGUGCCACCUGUAGUAUAAAUAGCUAAUCGAAGAAUGAACUUGACGUUAAUUUGCAAAAAUUGAUUUGCAACCAGGAGACACGGCUCGUCCCUUUUUGGGGGCGGUCAAUUACUGACGACAGCGGCACAGUUUGCACAGCAUCUUUCUUUCUGGGUCCACUGGAAAGACUGGAGGGGAUAGAUUGUGAGAAAGAAGAUAGAUGAGGUUGGAGAAGUACGACUGUAUGAACGCAGCUUUAGCAGAGAAGAUGCCGCAACAGAAUAUGCAUUUUGAAUAACUCGAAAACGAAAUAUUUCAACCAUCCUAUUAACAAAUAUUUUUUUCCAUUUUAGUGGAGUUGAAAUUGUUAAUUCAUUACGAAUCGUCGGUCGCUCCGUAACUCAGAUCUGUUCACUGCUCCCGGGAAUUCCCAUUAUUGCGAGAGUGGUGAAUUUUUUUUGAAAUUUUUCAAGUGGAAAUUUUUCAAAAUAUGAAAAAAUUAAAAAUCACUGCACGAGGGCUCCUUUUCCCCCAUUUCGGAUCUGCGGUCGAUCCGCAACUCAUAUCUGUUCACUGCUCCCGGGAAUUCCCAUUAUUGCGAGAGUGGUGAAUUUUUUUUGAAAUUUUUCAAGUGGAAAUUUUUCAAAAUAUGAAAAAAUUAAAAAUCACUCCACGAGGGCCCCUUCUCCCCCAUUUCGGAUCUGCGGUCGAUCCACAACUCAGAUCUGUUCACUGCUCCCGGGAAUUCCCAUUAUUGCGAGAGUGGUGAAUUUUUUUGAAAUUUUUCAGUCCAAUUAACUCACAAAUAGAAAAAAAUUGGGAGAGGUACUACAAUGCCAGUGGGGUGACUAAAACUCCCAAAACUGAGCCUCUCUUUUAGUUAAUCCUCUUUGAUUUCGAACAAAUUCGGGGCGGGAAAUUUCGAAUGAAAAACACAUGACUUCUGUUUGUUCGAUUUAAUUUCAUAGUUCUACAGCUGCGUACAAAUUCAUCGGUAACAUUCAAUCAAUUCAUCGUUAAUCAUUAAGAUGGAAAUAUUAAAUCACUGCUUAAUUGGCAAAAAAA